UGGGGAAUUUUGGACAAUGGGCGAAAGCCUGAUCCAGCAAUGCCGCGUGUGUGAAGAAGGCCUUCGGGUUGUAAAGCACUUUUGUCCGGAAAGAAAUCCUUGGCUCUAAUACAGUCGGGGGAUGACGGUACCGGAAGAAUAAGCACCGGCUAACUACGUGCCAGCAGCCGCGGUAAUACGUAGGGUGCAAGCGUUAAUCGGAAUUACUGGGCGUAAAGCGUGCGCAGGCGGUUUGCUAAGACCGAUGUGAAAUCCCCGGGCUCAACCUGGGAACUGCAUUGGUGACUGGCAGGCUAGAGUAUGGCAGAGGGGGGUAGAAUUCCACGUGUAGCAGUGAAAUGCGUAGAGAUGUGGAGGAAUACCGAUGGCGAAGGCAGCCCCCUGGGCCAAUACUGACGCUCAUGCACGAAAGCGUGGGGAGCAAAACAGGAUUAGAUACCCUGGUAGUCCACGCCCUAAACGAUGUCAACUAGUUGUUGGGGAUUCAUUUCCUUAGUAACGUAGCUAACGCGUGAAGUUGACCGCCUGGGGAGUACGUCGCAAGAUUAAAACUCAAAUGAAUUGACGGGGUCAUAGCUGUUUCCU
This 585-nucleotide ribosomal RNA is filed under the name uncultured bacterium. Its description in RNAcentral is "partial 16S ribosomal RNA". It matches the Rfam family "Bacterial small subunit ribosomal RNA", at positions 355 to 1375 of the family's 1533-position model. The record is from RNAcentral.